This is a long non-coding RNA of Canis lupus familiaris (dog), 1841 nucleotides long. RefSeq lists it as uncharacterized. The transcript is spliced from 6 exons. The record is from RefSeq and is a predicted model, not a curated record. Lineage: Eukaryota; Metazoa; Chordata; Mammalia; Carnivora; Canidae.
AUGUGGGUGGCUGUAAUGGCAGCCUGUAGGUUUGUAUGGAAAACAAGUAUGGCACAGUGAAAAAAAUCCUUCUUUCACCCUACAGAUACCUGUACGGAGAGCUUGGGAGGCAUUUCCAUAGGCUCAUUGUCAAGUGAAAGUUAAAGCCCCCACUCACUGGGAAGCAAAGGGUGAAGAAAUAAGACACUACAUGGCUCUGCUUUUUAGUGCGUGGAUCAGAGACACAUCUAUGAACAGCUGCCUACGCAAGUUGAUUACUGGGCAAUAUAAUUUCUCAGUUUUUAUGGGUAAAUGAGUGCUUCUCGCCAUGGACCUAGCUUGUGCAUCAAUUUAGUUCCAUUAGCUUGCUUUGGAUUCAUGGGAAUUCUGAACAGAGACGUGAGAAUGACUUCAAUUUGAGGUAUCUGUUAAAUGCAGCAACAUGACAUCACAAGGAUUGUUUUGGAGUCUUCUGGAUAUGAGAGAUAUUAAAAAAGUGAAAUAGUAGGACUGAAGUAUGAGGGGAGAAAUAGAGAAAACCAUGGUUUUCAUACUCUCUUUUUGGAGAAUAAUUUAUUUGUUGGUUUGUUUGUCAGAAAUGGGAUUAUUUGAAGAGACCAACACAGGGAGGAAUGGACUGAGAAAUGAAUAGGAAACUCAGUGGGUUGGAGAGUACUUAAAUGCCGUGGGCCUUUAAGGAAAUUCUACUGAAAUCAAUAUAACUAAGGAGACAGGAAGGAAGCCAAGACAAGAGAGUGAAGAUUCUGAAGUAAAUGGGUACUUGCUUUGACCAAGAUCGAAAGCCACCUCUCCCCAGAGAAUAUUAGAAGAGGGCAUGGAAGACAAGCAUUGGAAAAGUAGAAUGUUUGUGCUUUUCUUUCUGGUGAACUGCAUUAAAAAUUCAGCAAAAGGGGGGAUCAGUUUACAUUACUCUUCUUGUUUCGCAUGUAUCAACUGACAGGUGCUGUAAACAUACAUAGACAAACAUGGUCCUAUGCUUGCAGUGCUCCAGUGACUGCGGAAGGCAGUAUGUAAUCUCCCAAGGUGAUCACACAGAGGAAUGUGCAGACACACUAUGCUGAGAUUGAAGAAGAGGCCAUAAAUAUUCUCUUUCCCAUAAAACUACAGGAGCUCGCCUUUGAACUUUGAUUCUCCAGAAAAUCCAGUCAGAGAGACGGUUUUGUUCUGACAAUAAGUUACUGAGGUCCAGAAGUCUUCUUUUGAUUCUGAAGACUUGACUGAAACCUUACUAGUACUUCUGAAAUAACAGCAGAAGGAGCCCAGGAGGCCCCUCGGUCUUCUGUAUGUCUUGCUUUGCUGGAGGUAAACCGCUGAUCCACACGCCUUUGAUUUCACUAAGGGUAGAACCUCAGCCAUCAGGUAGAGAGAACUGACCUUGGCUUUGACAUCAGACUCAGUAUUUAAGACAUUUACUCAUUUGUGUUGUAGAGAUGUCACGGUAAAUACAUUAUAUCCGUUUAUACUGAACACUAAGAGGCUCCUUUUUCUACACCAUAGACAGCGAUUUGGCUGAGACUGUAUCAUUCUGUGAUACUAUCCCAACUACCUUUUUUCUCACUUGAAUUGUACUUUUGGCUGUCAUUUGCGCUUUUGAAUAAAGGUUUACAUUAGUAGAAGAUAUCAUAAUAGCCUAUCUCCUUUUCAUGAGUUGAUAUACAAAUCAAAAAGAAAGGAUAAGGCCAAGACUCCCUUUGUCCUUGGAAAAGUAUGCCAUCUGCAUUUAGCUUAUGAUAUUCAGCUGGGAACAAAAUUCUAGCAUAAGGAAGUCGUUAAUACAACCCUCAAGUUACACUGUAAAUUCAAAGUACUUUAAAUGCCUUAUAAUAGUCAAAGCCAGUAAA